Styela clava is the source of this 895-nucleotide non-coding RNA. The record is from RefSeq and is a predicted model, not a curated record. NCBI's taxonomy places the organism in Eukaryota, Metazoa, Chordata, Ascidiacea, Stolidobranchia, Styelidae.
CAACAACAACGGAUGAUAAAUAAAAUACGGAAAUAUGAAGAGCCAUGAGGACUUUAAUUAAGGAAACCGGUACCGCUUGACGAGCGCAAGGGCGCCAUCAAGCGAAUGCGAUAUACCUCAAUGUACACAAUUAAACGAGAAUAACGCUUAUUAACAUGACUAAGCACUUUGAAAACUGGAUCGGCGUGCCCAGCAACGUUAAUUUCAAUUUGACAGAACUUUACUGGCUUAAUGAACUGAUGCAUGCUGAAGCAUGCAUUUCUUUCACAUUUAGGUUAUAUGAUAAAAAGUUGUCGAAAGUGAAAAACAGAACUUGGCACAUACAGAGUAAAUGACGAUGCGAAUUUAGAAUACAGUGGAAGAACACGAUUGCAUCCCGGUAUGGUACCGGUAACGGUUCAGGGAAUAUACGACUAGAAGAAGAUCAGACACAUGAAAAGGCAAUGUUUUCAGACUACUGGCAAAAAUAAACAUCAAGCGUUUGCUCUUGAUUGAAGAGCUGCAUGGGAUUUGUCGCUGUCGAGGAGGCUAGUGUCGUCAGCAAACAAUUUGGUUGAGAGCGAAGAGCAGUGAACUAUGUCAUUGACAUAUACUAGGAAAAAUAAUGGGCCCAAUAUACUACCUUGUGGAACUCCGUGAGUCACUGAUUUGAAGAGGGGGAUUACUCGAGCAAUUUUGAGACACGAAGGAAAGAUUCCUAACGAGAGAGAACAAUUAAAAAGUUCAGCUAAACAUGGCGAAAUGAGGUCAGCAACAAGUUUAAGGAACCGUGCUGGAAUAUUGUCUGGACCUACUGCCUUCCUAUCUUUCAGAUUUUGUAUUUCUAUUAUCACUUCGUUUGAAUCAGUCAAACUCAUGAAAAUGGACUGGCUUACACGAUUGCGAAGAAAAUGUU